AUUCCUGCCCACAGUAGAUGAGGGUUUUGAUUGUUUUUCCACAUUCUAGCCAACCCUUGUUACUAUCUGACUUUUUGAUUCUAGUCAUCCUUGUGGGUGUGAAGUGGUAUCUCAUUGUGGUUUUGAUUUGCAUUUCCCUGAUAGCGAAUGAUGUCAAGCAUUUUUUCAUGUGCUUAUUGGCCAUUUGUGUAUCUUCUUUGGAGAAAUGUCUAUUCCGAUCCUUUGCCCAUUUAAAAAAAUCGGAUUGUCUAUUAUUGAGUUGUUGUAGUUCUUUAUAUAUUCUGGAUACAAAUACCUUAUCUGAUAUAUGAUUUGCAGAUAUUUUCUUCCAUUUUGCAAGUUGUCUUUUCACUUUCUUUAUGGUAUUGUUUGCAGCAGUUUAAAAUUUUGGCGGAAGUCCAAGUCUCUAUUUUUCCUUUUGUUGCUUGUGCUUUUAGUGUUGAUAAUUAAGAACCAGCUCUGUGUGACUCUGAAGCUGGUGCUCUUUUUGCCUUCAACCUUCCAUGGGGGAUGUAGAAAUUGGUGGUCAGGAUUUGGUAGUCAGUCGUCUUAGGCUUGAGUGAGGGUGCAGAGCUGUGGAGAAUAAUGACCCUGGAAUCAAACGGAUUUGAGUUCUAAUCCUAGCCAGGCUGUUGCUUUCUUUGGUGACUUGGGCAGGUCAUUCAAUGCCUUUGAACCUCAGUUUACUCAUCUGUACAAUGGGAUAAUCACACUUGCCCUCGAGGUUGCUGUGAGAUUAAAUGGGGGUGGAGCAAGCACAUGGAAGAUGCUUCCUAGACAUAGCUGGGUUGACAUUGGCCUCUGAGUUCACCACGAAGAGCCCCCCCCAACUCCCCACACCCCAGUACUGUGCAGGGCUCUGGACCUGGAGACACACAGCACCUCUCUUGCCCUCAGAUGCCAGGCACCAGGGCACACGGCCGGGAGUCCCUGGGCCUCUGUCCCAGUGAACUUUUCUCUGGAGCCUGAACACAAAGCAUAGUUUCCCUUUGUCCUGCUGAAACCUGUGAGGGCAGCAGAGGGAACCAGAAGGAACCAUUAAACUGUCAGGCAGAGGGAGGCGGAGGUUCCAGUUUAGAAAUUGCCCCCCCAGGCCUGCCCCAGCUCCCAUAGCCUUUCAGCCUCUGUUACCAAUAAGGCAACUAAGGCUCAGAGAGGUGAAGCCAUUUGAUGGAGGUCACACAGCCCCAUCUUGAAAAGCAAUACAAAGAAGGGCUUCUUGCCUCCAGGUCUGAGAAUCUUCAGGCAUCACCCUGGCACGUGCCCCACUUCUUGUGGAGUCAGGACCUUGGAAUGCCCCCCUACCUGCAGUGCACCUUCCUGGCUCCCCAUUAGGACAAGACGCUUUGGAGCCACACAGAACUGGGCUGGAAUCCAGUGACACCAUUUACUCUCUGAACCUCAGUCUCUUCAUCUGUUCAGUGGGGAUAUUUGUUCCUGCCUCUAUGGUUGCUGUGAGGAUGGAAUGAAGGCUGAACCUUGUACGAGCUGAGUGUGGACCCAGCCCUCUGCUCCUUCAGGGCAGAGACCACGUCUGUAGUGGUACCUUGGGCUAACAUCAUGAAGUGAUUGUUAUGCACUGGACCAUCUUCUGAAAACUUUCCCUGGAUUAACUGUCUGAAUUCUGACAACCCAGUUCCUCCCAUUUUAUUGACAGCACACAGAGGUAAAGUCAUGUUCCCAAGUUCACACAGCUAGCAAGUACCCACACCGUUAUUUGAACCCAGACCAUGCCUAGCUCAGAGGAGGUGGUCCAUAAAUAUUUAUUGCAAGAAUAAAGGAAUGGGUUUUGUUAGAAAAGAGCUAGACUGCGGACUGAUUGCUUGAUUGUCAAAACUUGUGGUUCAUCAAGUUACCAGAGUUCAAGUCAAGCUAAUCAAGUACAGGUCAAACUGAUCAAGUGCCCCCUUGGGGUCCCAGCCUGUGACCAGACCUGACCUCCAGCUCCCCAAACACAUAUGGCUGCAGGACUGCAUCACAGCGUUCCUGGGCUCUACGCACUUUUGCCUUUGUGGGCCCCUUCCUCCAUUAAAAAAAUAAUAAAAAUUAUAUUUUACGACUGUUGGUACGAGAAGGAACAUUAUUCAGGCUGGAUUAUAUUACAGUUUGUCUUUUAAAAAAAGUUAAACAUUUUCAUGGGCCCCUAAAAUAUCAUGGUCCCUAAACACUCCGCCUUCUGUGCAUAGUGGAGAAGUCAGGCCUGAGUGACUGAGCUCACAAUCCUGUUCUGGGCUCAGAGCAUUCGUCACUGCAUUUACAUUGCACACAAGCGUUCGUAGAGGGCGUGAUUAUGUCCAUUAGAGAGAUGGGAAAACUGAGACUUGGAGAAGUUGGCCAGCUCACCCAGGAGCACAGAGAGAGUCCAUGGCGAAGCUCACGUCUGAGAGUUUGCCAUGUCAUCAGAGGAAGUUCCAACAAGGGCACUCUUGGGCUGUGCUGAGGAUGACAUCCACGUGGCAGUGAAUUUGUCACAGUGUCAAGAUAAAUGUGGGGCCGGCACAGGGAUGGCCGACGGAACAGAGAGAUUUGGGAGACUCAGACGGAUUCUUGCUUGACUUAUGGCCCCAGAGUGGUGGUGAGGGUGGGGGGCAGAGGAAGGGCCAGCUCCUUGUCCUUAGACUUGAACUUCUGGGCGAAGCUGGUGGCCUCUGAGUCUGUGACUCUGUUGGGGUGGAGACUGGGCUAUUUAUAGGCUGGGAAUGAUCCCUCCCAGCUCCGAAUGCAGGUGGUCGGUGAUAAGGUGGCUGCUCUGUAAUGAGCUCAGUGGGAAGUUAAUAAACGCCAUUAUACUCAGAGAGCAAUUGCAGACUUGAGCAUGAAAUAAGAGAAAUAGCCAAGGGGCGGCAGGACCCCUGAGCUGAGGAACAGCUGCGAUGAGCACACCCUCCCCCCGCCCCGCACCAUGUCAGACAGUCUCCGCUUCCUGCAAUGGCUCAGCUGUUCCCUGGUGUGUGACCUUGGGCGUGUGGCUUCACUGUCUCACGGCUGCCUCCUCUGUACAUUGGGGCUAAUGGGAAUUAAACAGCGAUGGCACCGACAAGCACCGCUAAGAUGCUGAAGCCGGGCAUCCUGUUAAGGGCCAAUGCACAGGGCUGCUCUAAACAGCUCAGAGCCAGGAGCUCUUCCGCUACAAGUGAAGGACUGGAGCUUUGCUGAUUCAGCCCCCAGGUAUUUAUUGAGUUCCUACGAUGUACUGGGUUCUCAGCUGGGUGCUGCAUCAGACAGGUCCCCUGGGCCUUAGGUUCAAGAGGAGGGAGACAGAAAAUAACACAUAAACAAGGAUUAUACAGUAUGUCAGAGAGAGGCAGUGAAGGAGGGCAGGGGAGGAGUGGGGGGCUGCUCUUUUACUGAGGGGGUCAAGGAAGGAUGCUCUGGUAAGGUUACAUGUGCACAGAGUCCUAAAGACAGUGAGGGGACAAGCCAUGGAAAUAGCUGGGGGAAAAGCACUCCAGGUGGACGGACCAGCAAGAGCAAAGGCCCUGAGGUGGGAAGGUGAGGUUGGGUUUGAGGAAGGAGGAGGCCAGGGUGGCCAGAGGCGGGGGAGGAGAACUGAGGCCAGAGAAGUCAUGGGGGCCAGGUUGGGUGGGGACUUUGUUAGGACUCUCCUUGGGGGAAGGGCUUGUGGUCGCGGUGUUGUCACUGGCCAGCGGCCCUCAGCUGUCAGCCCCAGGGAUGGCGCAGCUGCAGGGAGCCACCUUGCCCUUCCUUGCUGUCCACGUCCAGUAACUGACAACGGUAGGGGUGUGAGGGCCGGGCCACUUCCGCCCGAUGUGGGCUAACUCCCACGGGCCUUUCUGGCUCCGGGGCUCUCCUGGGCCUGCCUCUCCACCUGACUCAUCCCUCUGCCCAGGCUUCCCUGCCCUCCCCUUCCAGCGGCGUUGAUCCCGCCGGGCGCAUGCUUCACCCCAUCUCAGUUUCUCCUUUUAGAAAAUGGCAUUGAUGACCCCAAAGAUUCUUCCAUCUGAACCUUCUGGAUUGUGUGAUAAAAGGCUGUUCUGGCCAGGGUGCGGGGUGGCUUUUCAUGCCUUUGCUUGAAAUCCAACCUGCUACAGCCUCGUAGGGAAUUUUAAGGACUCGGGCUUUUAAUGAGAUGGAGAAUGCUUGGAAGGUUGGGCUCCCAGGAGGGAUGUGACCUGAUCUGCCUUUUGGAAGGAUCACCCCGGCUGCGGCCAGGGUUGGGAGGCUUGUGGGGCUCAGGUAUAAGGCGACAAGUCCCCUUUCUAGUCUCACGGCCAGAAAUAUGAUCACUGUGAUUGUCGUUACUGCUAUGACCGCUGAUAAUCUAGGCAGACGGGGGACAAAAGUCCCGGUAAAUAGGGGAGGAAAAAAAUCACUUCUGAGUGUUGCUCAGAGGGGUCUUCUGGGGCAUAAUCUUCCCAGGACUCUUGGGAUCCCCAUUACCCCGAAUUUAGUUGGGGUUCACUCUUCACCUGUACCUCUUGUGUGCCAAGUCUGUCCUGGGUGUCGGGGAUAGAGUUUGACCAGAGUCAGUCCUGUCCUUGAUGAUUUUAUGAUUUACUGGGGGAGAUAGACAAGUGGAUGGCAGAUUGCAACCCAGUGAAAAGUGCUCUGAUGGGGAGUAGAGGGGCCUAGGAUGCAUUUGGGAGGCUCCGAAAUUAAUUUAGGGGGUGGUGCAAGGAAAGAGGGGGUGAUGUCCUAGCAGAAACGGAAGCAUGAGUAGGAGUUAGCCAGGGAGGGGACAGCAUGGGCACAGGCCUGGAGGUGAGGGAGAUAGGGAUGGCUCCUAGUUAGGACUUUAUCCUCUUAGUCAAGGCUGUCUUGCUUCAAUGUCACAGCUACUCACAUAAGAAUUUGUGGCCAUAGCUUUCCCUCUCAUGGCUAAAAAGGUGCCCAGAGAGUCCCCCUUACCCCCAGGAUGGCCUUUAUCACACAGUGGAAUGUUGAGAUGGAAUCACCCUUGGGGUCGUCAAUUCUGUUUUCUAAAUCGAGAAACUGAGUCCCAGACAAGAAGAAGUGAUUCGACCAAGCAUGCACUGUAAAGCUGGGCCUUGGUGUGGGACUCGGGCUCUUUCCUGCCUUACACGUUGAGGGCUCGUCCCUAAAGCUUUGCCCUGUGGAUUGAGCGGGCAGCUAAAACUUGGCUGAAGCCCCCAGCGUGGGCUUGGCACAUAGUAGAUGUGCAGUUAAUAUCAUUCUCUUUCCAUCCAUGUGUCCUAGCUCUGCCACCACUCCCUGGCUGUGCAACCUUUGGAUAAUACCUCACCCUCUCUGGGCCUCAUGUGCUUGAUGGGAAGGUGGGAUGGAAAACCACCUGGGGUAUCUUCCAGGGCUAACCUUCUGAGAACAGAAAGGGACGGACAAUCAUUUGGCUAGCAGGAUAGUUGCAUGAUUCCAUUUCUGCUAAGAUUUUCUGCCUCUCAGAGCAGCCUCUGGGAUGUUUUACUUUGCCCACAGGCCUGGGGUGCUAAUUGGAAACAGAGGCAGGGGGUCCAAAGGGGAGAAUCCACAAAAGGCCCCACGGUGUGUGUUUGCAUUUGCGUUUCGUCCCUACAGAAGGCUUAUUUCCAAGCCAGCAGCUGCCCAUCCCCUUUGAAGAGCCUUCACGGCAGCCGCCAUCCAUCACCCGCUUGGCAUGACUGUUAAGUACCAGUGCUCAGCGCCGAGCGCUGAGGGACGGAACUCCAAGAGGGGUCAGCCCAGGGCCAGGGAAUUAGAAAGAGGCAAUCGAAGCAGAGGGGCUGGAGCAAACUGGUUAACACGCAGGCUUUGAGUGAGGAGGCUCUGGGUCACAUCCCCGUGUGGUGGGCUAUUGCUGCUCGGCUGCCUCAUUCUGCUCUGUGGGGUUUGAGAACAGAUUCUUGGUCUUCCUUUGUGAGAAUGUACCUUUCCUACACCCUAAGCCCCUCCCAGCCUCAGAAGUGGGCAUGCAAUCCUGGUUCGGACAAUAGUACCUUCCAAUCCUUCUGACCACAGAGAGCAGGUUAGAUGGCCACACAACCCUCCAGGUUGGUCCAAUGAUACUUGCAUUUCAAUGGUGGGUGCUGAGUUGGUUUGGGGUACACCUAGAGCUGCUUUUGGCCAUCUUACCUCCACGAGGGAGAAUUCCCCUGGGAGUAAAACUAUCACAAAAGAAAGCACACCAAGAGAUGGAGAAAGACAGAUACCGAGUGCCUAGAUCCAGCCAUGCCUGAUGCUGUUACCUUAGAUUUUCCUGCUACAUGAGCCUAUAAAUUCCUUUCACUGGCUUAAAGGUUUUUGUUUUUAAUUGGAAAGAGUAGCCAUGAGUCCCCACUAUUACACCCAUUAGGCAUAUGAUUUCACCUCUCUGGACCUCAGUUUUUUUACCUGUAAAAUGGGGGUGACAAUAAUACCAGGUAGUUAAUAUUUAGGUUAAAUGAAAUAAUGUAUGUAAAGCACUCAUCACAGUGUCUGACUCUAAUAAAUGCUCAAUUCAGCUAUAAUUAAGCCAUCCCCAACCCGUUAGGGUCCACAGAGCCCUUUCUUGGCCUCUUGUUCUCAUGUGAAGGGUUCCUGUGAGGCUUAAACAAGGUGUUAUGAAUUCAAAAUGCCUACCGUGUAGUCUGGCACAUUCAGGUACGGUUGUUCAGUGGUUUUCUGGUGAGCAGGUUAUGGAAGCCCUGAAGAACUGAAGAACAGGUGAAUUGCGAGUACUGCAGAGCCAAGAAUGGAAGGCAGUGAGAGGUGGUCUAAAUAGGACAAACCAUCCACCCUGGGGACAUCCUAUGGGUCCCAGCAGCACACUCCCCUCUCAUUACCCGAGCUAUAUGCUCUAGCGGUUCUCCCUAUGAGGGGUGCAUGGGUCCUUCUGUUGUGGCGGGCUAUGUGGGUGGUCUUGUAGGCUUGGUUGGCCCCUGAUCCAGUUGGUUGCCAGGCCCUGCCUUGUGUGGAGGCUGCCGGCCAAUGGUUGGCAAGGCUGUGUCUCGAGGUGGCUGACUACAGAACCCUAGGGUACCCCGGGGCUAGUACUGGCUCACAGGUGGGCGGAGUCAGGGUACAGAAGACUCUAAGGCUGUUGCCCCCCACUGGUGGGUGAAGCCAGGUCCUGGGGGGCUAGUGCCGGAUACUGGCAGGCAGAGCUGGAUCCUGGAGUCUGGCUGCAGGGCCCAGGGGUCCCAGAGCUGGUGUCAGCUCACAGGUGAGGGUGCAGUUCCUGACACAGUUGGGUACAGAGUCUGGGGUGUCCUGAAGCUUGUGUUGGCCUGCUAGUGGGCCGGGCUGGGGCCCAACUGGUCCCAGGGCAGGGUCGGGCCUGCUGUCAGCUGGCUGGGUCCGCAGGCUGUGGGGUUGUGGUUUUCUUGCACGUUAUGUCCGCCCCAGGUGGGUGGGGCUGGUCCAGAGGCUCCCCGGGGCGGAGCCUGGCGCAGGGGAUUCUGGGACUGUGGGCGGAGCUGAGUUCUGGGCCCUCUUGCGGGCAGGGCUUCGUUCAGAGGCCUCUGUGAGCUUAGGGCGUCUUAGGUCAGCCUGACUGCUGGUGGGUGGGGCUGUGUCCUCGCCCAGUUAGUUGCUUGGCCUGAGGCGUCCCAGCGUUGGCCCCAGCAGGCUGUCGGGCGAGGCCAGGUCUUGUCGCUAAGGAGCUGGAGGCCGGCAUCAGCCUCCCUCAGUGGAAGGAGCUCCCAAAUAUGGCUGCUGCCAGGAUGAGCCCCAGUCUUCCCGCCUCACCCGGGGACCUUCCAAGACCUGCAGGUGGCUUGAUCAGAGAGUGAUGCCAGGACUUCUGCAGCCAUCUUGUGUCCAUGAGGAGAGCCAGACCAGGGACAAAGUGGACAUGCAGGGAAGGACACAGAGGAGUAGAUCCAGACCCCUGGAGGCAUCCCAUCAGUGCACCCUCCCCCUGGGCUUCCCACGAGGUUUGGUCCAGGUGAUACUGCCACACAUCUUUUCUCCUCACCAGAGCAUGCUAGCAGAUCCAGUUUGCUCCUGAAAAUGGUGGUGAU
This is a long non-coding RNA of Orcinus orca (killer whale), 7916 nucleotides long. RefSeq lists it as uncharacterized. Lineage: Eukaryota; Metazoa; Chordata; Mammalia; Artiodactyla; Delphinidae. The record is from RefSeq and is a predicted model, not a curated record. The transcript is spliced from 4 exons.